GCCAAAGUAGCUCAGCUGGGAGAGCAUUAGACUACAAAUCUGAAGGCCCCCUGGUUUGAUCCCAGGCAAUUUUGCUUGGCA
Non-coding RNA from Podarcis lilfordi (Lilford's wall lizard), 81 nucleotides. The record is from the annotation of a GenBank genome assembly. NCBI's taxonomy places the organism in Eukaryota, Metazoa, Chordata, Lepidosauria, Squamata, Lacertidae.